Molecule: ribosomal RNA, 501 nt
Filed under: uncultured bacterium
Lineage: Bacteria
Description: partial 16S ribosomal RNA
Rfam family: Bacterial small subunit ribosomal RNA
Source: RNAcentral
AUUGAACGCUGGCGGCAUGCCUUACACAUGCAAGUCGAACGGCAGCACGGGUGCUUGCACCUGGUGGCGAGUGGCGAACGGGUGAGUAAUAUAUCGGAACGUACCUUAUUGUGGGGGAUAACGCAGCGAAAGCUGUGCUAAUACCGCAUAAUCCCUUAGGGGGAAAGCGGGGGACCGUAAGGCCUCGCGCAAUUAGAGCGGCCGAUACCUGAUUAGCUAGUUGGUGAGGUAAAGGCUCACCAAGGCGACGAUCAGUAGCUGGUCUGAGAGGAAGAGCAGCCACACUGGGACUGGGACACGGCCCAGACGCCUACGGGAGGCAGCAGUGGGGAAUUUUGGACAAUGGGGGCAACCCUGAUCCAGCAAUGCCGCGUGAGUGAAGAAGGCCUUCGGGUUGUAAAGCUCUUUUGUCAGGGAAGAAACAGCAGCUCUAACACAGUAUGCGAAUGACGGUACCUGAAGAAUAAGCACCGGCUAACUACGUGCCAGCAGCCGCCGUAA